Molecule: transfer RNA, 85 nt
Filed under: Candidatus Profftia tarda
Lineage: Bacteria; Pseudomonadati; Pseudomonadota; Gammaproteobacteria; Enterobacterales; Enterobacteriaceae
Description: tRNA-Leu
Rfam family: tRNA
About the family: Transfer RNA (tRNA) molecules are approximately 80 nucleotides in length.
Source: RNAcentral
GCCGAAAUGGCGGAAGCGGUAGACGCAGUUGAUUCAAAAUCAACCGUUGAAAAACGUGCCGGUUCGAGUCCGGCUUUCGGCACCA